GAUGAACGCUGGCGGCGUGCCUAAUACAUGCAAGUCGAGCGAACAGACGAGGAGCUUGCUCCUUUGACGUUAGCGGCGGACGGGUGAGUAACACGUAGGUAACCUACCUAUAAGACUGGGAUAACUUCGGGAAACCGGAGCUAAUACCGGAUAAUAUUUCGAACCGCAUGGUUCGAUAGUGAAAGAUGGCUUUGCUAUCACGUAUAGAUGGACCUGCGCCGUAUUAGCUAGUUGGUAAGGUAACGGCUUACCAAGGCAACGAUACGUAGCCGACCUGAGAGGGUGAUCGGCCACACUGGAACUGAGACACGGUCCAGACUCCUACGGGAGGCAGCAGUAGGGAAUCUUCCGCAAUGGGCGAAAGCCUGACGGAGCAACGCCGCGUGAGUGAUGAAGGUCUUCGGAUCGUAAAACUCUGUUAUUAGGGAAGAACAAACGUGUAAGUAACUGUGCACGUCUUGACGGUACCUAAUCAGAAAGCCACGGCUAACUACGUG
Molecule: ribosomal RNA, 497 nt
Filed under: uncultured bacterium
Lineage: Bacteria
Description: partial 16S ribosomal RNA
Rfam family: Bacterial small subunit ribosomal RNA
Source: RNAcentral